AUUUCCCAUGGGCAUAAAGUUCAAGAUGCUUUACUGGUUCCUUUCGAGACUGAACUACAGACACGGGACGACCAUCCGAACAAUUUGAAAACGGGGGGGCGUUGAGCAAGGCGCGCAAGGCAGUAGCAACCGAAUAAACAAAAACGAUACUCGCAAGAGUUAGCCACAGCAAAGAGGGGCCAGGUUCCUCGGGAUCCGACCCAGCUGCUCUGAUUUCACACCGACCUCCAUCAACAGCUAAACUGCACAGGGAGGAGGAUCGAACGGAUCCCUCCCGCCCUCCGCCCAAGGAGCCGACCCGGGGUAGCAAGACCCCUGCCCCCGCCAGGCUAGGACGAGCAGCCGCCACCGCUGCCACCGCCACCGCCGCCGCCGCAGCGUCUCAGUGCGGCCCCGCCUCCGCCGACCCACCACCUUCACCACCUCCACGCUCCGGUACCGCCCCUCCCGCCAAUCGGACAGCUCCGGCUACGCCCCCAGGGCGCCAGCCCGCAGCCAAUGAGCAACGAGAGCCCGGCUGGGAGUCGUGCCGGCCAAUCGCAGGGGCCGAGGAAGCCUUGAAUCUCCGGGCAAGUUAAGUUUAUCUCCGAGGCUCGGAACUGAACGGAGAUGGCGGUUAGCUAAGUAGUAGGGUAGCAGGGAACAGUUUGCUCUCCUCUGCCAAUAAGAGGACGAGGGUGUGUCAUAUGCAAAUACACUGCCCUCCAAGCCCCACCCCCAAGAUAAGCUACGCCCCCUUCUCUAGGUCCCUGCAAAAGUGACCUUCCUGAGGCAGCUGUUUGGAUACAUGCAGAGCACAGCGCCCUGCUCAGAAAGGAAGGUUCAGAGAACAAAUUGCCGUUUAAAACUAUUGGGACAAACCUGCCUCUUCUAGAGCUUAAAAUGGUCUGCAGCGUACCAGCAUUUGUGAAGGCCUGCAGUUCGUAGAAUGAAAUCUAUGUGGAGAUGAUUUAAAAGAACGGUUUCACUGAGACCAACACAUAUAAACCAAGUCUACACAAGGAACAAAGCUAAAAUCCUUUCGAAAUGAGUUCCUUUAAGUUCUUCAGUAACUAAAUCCCCCAGAAAGGAAAGCAGAGAGAAUCUAGCCCUAUACAAUAACAUCCUCUAACAAAGAUUGCUAAAGGAAGAUUUUAGUAGAUGAAUAUCUUCAAUAAUACAUGGUCACAUACAUGUAUCCGACCAUAUGAUGGCUCUCUGCACCAAAUUCCUCCAAACUAUUAUAAUAUGUAUUGUCUGUAGUGCUAUUUAUUUGGCAGUUAAUCAUGUAUUGCACUGUGACAUUUCUUAUACUGAACCAUUAUGUAUGUGUUUAUAUUCUGCCCUCAGCUACUCAAUGCCAGUACCUUAUUCUUAACACAGCAACCACCCUUUCUGGUCUGUCGUCACACCCUCAUCCCCAUCAUAGUUGUUCUCCUCUCUCAUGGAAAUGUUCAGUUUCUGGACAUCUCCUUUCUCUUCCAUUCUUCACCUGACCUUCCUUCCU
Molecule: non-coding RNA, 1486 nt
Filed under: Pongo abelii (Sumatran orangutan)
Lineage: Eukaryota; Metazoa; Chordata; Mammalia; Primates; Hominidae
Source: RNAcentral